This 472-nucleotide ribosomal RNA is filed under the name uncultured bacterium. RNAcentral describes it as "bacterial SSU rRNA". It matches the Rfam family "Bacterial small subunit ribosomal RNA", at positions 8 to 526 of the family's 1533-position model. The record is from RNAcentral.
AGAGUUUGAUCAUGGCUCAGAACGAACGCUGGCGGCAUGCCUAACACAUGCAAGUCGAACGAGACCUUCGGGUCUAGUGGCGCACGGGUGCGUAACGCGUGGGAAUCUGCCCUUGGGUACGGAACAACAGUUAGAAAUGACUGCUAAUACCGUAUAAUGACUCCGGUCCAAAGAUUUAUCGCCCAGGGAUGAGCCCGCGUCGGAUUAGCUAGUUGGUGAGGUAAAAGCUCACCAAGGCGACGAUCCGUAGCUGGUCUGAGAGGAUGAUCAGCCACACUGGGACUGAGACACGGCCCAGACUCCUACGGGAGGCAGCAGUGGGGAAUAUUGGACAAUGGGCGAAAGCCUGACCCAGCCAUGCCGCGUGAGUGACGAAGGCCUUAGGGUUGUAAAGCUCUUUUGGCGGGGACGAUAAUGACGGUACCCGCAGAAUAAGCCCCGGCUAACUUCGUGCCAGCCGCCGCGGUAAUAC